This is a long non-coding RNA of Lycium barbarum (goji berry), 563 nucleotides long. RefSeq lists it as uncharacterized. Lineage: Eukaryota; Viridiplantae; Streptophyta; Magnoliopsida; Solanales; Solanaceae. The transcript is spliced from 3 exons. The record is from RefSeq and is a predicted model, not a curated record.
UUAAACCAAAGGAGGAAGAAAUAAAUAAAGAAAAAAUUGGAAGAUUGUUUUUGCCAAUCCCCUUAUAUAUAGGCCAUUUGGUUUGGCUGUGACAACCAGUGAGUAAUACUUUAGUCCCCAAAAUAUUCAGAUCACACAGAGGUGUAGUUUUGAUUAAGGUCACUGUCUCGCACUAUGGAUAUCAUCAGCAUUCAGGAAGUCCCACAACAACGACAAUUGAUCAUGAAGGAAGUUCCUCAGCAAACUUUACCAGAGGCUACUAUUGUAGAAAUGGAGUCCGGUAGCAUGCAUGUCCGCACAUCCGAAAAGGCAUCCAAGUGGUGGGUGUUAUAUGUACAAAUGGCUAUUCAAAGCAUGACACUACUAUAUGGAGAACUUGGAACAGCAUUCCAUAGCCUGGGGGUGGUGUACGGAGAUAUGGGAACCUCACCCAUCUACGUUUACUCAGCCACAUUCUCUGAAGGAAUUAAACACGAGGACGAUAUAAUUGGGGUCCUCUCCAUCAUUUUCUACACCAUCACCCUAAUAGCUCUCAUCAAAUAUAUCUUCAUCGUUCUCCGAGC